This 253-nucleotide ribosomal RNA is filed under the name uncultured bacterium. RNAcentral describes it as "partial 16S ribosomal RNA". It matches the Rfam family "Bacterial small subunit ribosomal RNA", at positions 524 to 776 of the family's 1533-position model. The record is from RNAcentral.
UACGAAGGGGGCUAGCGCUGUUCGGAAUUACUGGGCGUAAAGCGCACGUAGGCGGAAUGUUAAGUCAGGGGUGAAAUCCCGGGGCUCAACCCCGGAACUGCCUUUGAUACUGGAUGGCUUGAAUUCGGGAGAGGGAUGCAGAAUUCCAGGUGUAGCGGUGAAAUGCGUAGAUAUCUGGAGGAAUACCGGUGGCGAAGGCGGCAUCCUGGACCGACAUUGACGCUGAGGAGCGAAAGCUAGGGGAGCAAACGGG